AAUCGAUAUCGUUGCGCA
RNAcentral lists this microRNA (18 nucleotides) under Heligmosomoides polygyrus. Its description in RNAcentral is "hpo-miR-10138-3p". The record is from miRBase by way of RNAcentral. Lineage: Eukaryota; Metazoa; Nematoda; Chromadorea; Rhabditida; Heligmosomidae.